This 372-nucleotide ribosomal RNA is filed under the name Triticum aestivum (bread wheat). RNAcentral describes it as "partial small subunit ribosomal RNA". The record is from RNAcentral. Lineage: Eukaryota; Viridiplantae; Streptophyta; Magnoliopsida; Poales; Poaceae.
AUGCUGUGUAUCAUGUGCAUAAGCGAGCAUCUCAGCAGCCUUCUCGCUGGCUGUCCCUACCAUGAGCAAACCCAUGCCAAUACCAGCUGCUUCACCAGCCACAGCACUGUCUGUGUAAAGGACAUUCUUUAUGUCCUCAAACACUUCUUCAUCUGCUGUCCCCAGAGAGGCAAGCCCAAGUCCCAAACAAGCACCAUGCUGGAUGACCUGCAUAAUAUAGUUUUAGGUAAGAAAAAUAUAUAUACACACAAUAUAAGUAGCAUUACACAAGAAGGACAAGGAACAGAAUGUCACCUCUGCACUGGUGUUGCGAAGGCUUUCACGGAGGAAUUGUUUGAUUCCUUCACCAUGGUUGGCAUGAAUCAAACCUAA